AUUGAACGCUGGCGGCAUGCCUUACACAUGCAAGUCGAACGGCAGCGGACCUUCGGGUGCCGGCGAGUGGCGAACGGGUGAGUAAUGCAUCGGAACGUGCCAUUGAGUGGGGGAUAACGUAGCGAAAGUUACGCUAAUACCGCAUAUUCUGUGAGCAGGAAAGCAGGGGACCGCAAGGCCUUGCGCUCUUUGAGCGGCCGAUGUCAGAUUAGCUAGUUGGUGAGGUAAAGGCUUACCAAGGCGACGAUCUGUAGCGGGUCUGAGAGGAUGAUCCGCCACACUGGAACUGAGACACGGUCCAGACUCCUACGGGAGGCAGCAGUGGGGAAUUUUGGACAAUGGGCGCAAGCCUGAUCCAGCCAUGCCGCGUGAGUGAAGAAGG
RNAcentral lists this ribosomal RNA (382 nucleotides) under uncultured bacterium. RNAcentral describes it as "bacterial SSU rRNA". It matches the Rfam family "Bacterial small subunit ribosomal RNA", at positions 30 to 414 of the family's 1533-position model. The record is from RNAcentral.